RNAcentral lists this ribosomal RNA (497 nucleotides) under uncultured bacterium. RNAcentral describes it as "partial 16S ribosomal RNA". It matches the Rfam family "Bacterial small subunit ribosomal RNA", at positions 28 to 507 of the family's 1533-position model. The record is from RNAcentral.
GAUGAACGCUGGCGGCGUGCCUAAUACAUGCAAGUCGAGCGAACGGACGAGAAGCUUGCUUCUCUGAUGUUAGCGGCGGACGGGUGAGUAACACGUGGAUAACCUACCUAUAAGACUGGGAUAACUUCGGGAAACCGUAGCUAAUACCGGAUAAUAUUUUGAACCGCAUGGUUCAAAAGUGAAAGACGGUCUUGCUGUCACUUAUAGAUGGAUCCGCGCUGCAUUAGCUAGUUGGUAAGGUAACGGCUUACCAAGGCAACGAUGCAUAGCCGACCUGAGAGGGUGAUCGGCCACACGGGAACUGAGACACGGUCCAGACUCCUACGGGAGGCAGCAGUAGGGAAUCUUCCGCAAUGGGCGAAAGCCUGACGGAGCAACGCCGCGUGAGUGAUGAAGGUCUUCGGAUCGUAAAACUCUGUUAUUAGGGAAGAACAUAUGUGUAAGUAACUGUGCACAGCUUGACGGUACCUAAACAGAAAGCCACGGCUAACUACGUG